Molecule: non-coding RNA, 489 nt
Organism: Drosophila suzukii
Lineage: Eukaryota; Metazoa; Arthropoda; Insecta; Diptera; Drosophilidae
Source: RefSeq, a predicted model, not a curated record
CACUCAUUUGGCAGCCGGUGUGUGAAUAAUCUCACCUUGCUCUCCCUGAAUUUUUUACUCCGAUCUUUCGGACCUGGCAACGAACUCUCUUUUUUUAACCUGGCGAAUUGAUUUCAUGUGCAUAUGUAAAUUGAACAGUUAUUCGUGACGUCUUACGGCGAUACCGCUAUGGGUUUUCGAGUGGAACUCCGCCCCUCAAAUCGCUUAUAGCAACAAAGUGGGCAAACAAAACGUGCGGCGAUAAGACCCAAGUGAUAUGGCGGAAAUGCUCUCAGCCUGAUUAAUUUGGGUUUACCUGAACAAACAAUCGCAUUCCCUGCAGGUGGAAUGAGUAAUCCCGAUCGAAAUAACACCUGAGCGGAAGGCAUUUGAAUGAAAUGAAUGGCAGACCGUGGCAACCAAGCAUUUACCCAGGCUUAUAUGCUAAUAAGAAGUACUCCCAGUUUAUACAUUCUUGGGUUUAUUUUAAAUCUUGAUAAUAUUUUAAAU